Molecule: long non-coding RNA, 318 nt
Organism: Epinephelus fuscoguttatus (brown-marbled grouper)
Lineage: Eukaryota; Metazoa; Chordata; Actinopteri; Perciformes; Serranidae
Exons: 3
Source: RefSeq, a predicted model, not a curated record
UGACAAAGCCAGUGGCAGCUUGGGCCUCCAACAGAAUCAGAGAAGUACCAGGGGUCAGCAAGCCUUUGCUUUUGGCUUCAUAGAUGCUUAAGGUCUCUUUGGUGGACUGCAGGUACACUCCUGCAAUGCAAUUGGUCCCCUCGAGGUAUUUGCGCACUGAGUCCAUUUCACUUACUUCUGUCACUGUGACUUUUCCAGCAGUAAGAUCUUUGUAAAGGUCCUCAUUGAUGAUUUCUGAUUCAAGCAACUCAGUAGCAGUGACAUCCUUUCUGAUUCCAUGGAAUUUUUCAACUUCAGUUGUCUCCGUGACUGUAGUGG